Molecule: non-coding RNA, 45 nt
Filed under: Schistosoma haematobium
Lineage: Eukaryota; Metazoa; Platyhelminthes; Trematoda; Strigeidida; Schistosomatidae
Source: RNAcentral
AUCCAGCUGACGAGUCCUAAAUAGGACGAAAUGCGCGUCCUGUAU